CAAAAGUUGGCAAUAAAGUUGGCUUGUUAACAAACCCCGAUAAAUCGAAGUGAGCUUCAUCGCUCAUCAAUAAGUUGUUAGCAUCUUGGUUUUGAUUAAUCAACUGCAAAAAAGUCCUGCAGAAAUCGACUCUGUUUUCAUAGUCGUGUUCGUGUAGUGCACGAGUAAUUUUAAUUUUAUUGGGGUAGAAGUGGAGUUCUUUGUGCAAUAUCCGUCGAACGCCGUCUUCGGACUGCCCGAGUGAUGUAACGUGGAGACACGCAGACCGGCUUGGAUUUCGUUCAAUGGCUUCUCUCACUGCCGCUACAUUCUCGAGUAUAUGAAAGGAAAUCAAAAGAAGUGGAGAAGAAAGAUACUAAUGAUUUAUACCAUCAACUUCAUACUUGACUAAAGAAUAUGCUGCAGAGCAUUGUCAUUAUUGGAAAUAUAAAUUUCUGGCACCAGUUCAAGAUUUUAACAGAGCACAACUGCUGGACAUGACAGGAGAAAUCCACUUACUUCACCACCGCCUUGCAGGACCAAGCCACCAACAUGGUACACAGAGUCCCAAAAGGCUUUGGGUUCUGGAGGACCGCUUUGGAGACCAGCACCUUGGUACCACACAUAUCAGUCAGCUAAAAGCAAGGUCCUAAGUUAUGGCUUGGAAUCCUUGCAAGAAUUUGCCACAGCCAUCAAACAGCUCGUCUGCCUGCCCACCAGCCAUGCCUUCCCCCAUACUACCCAAGGACCACAUGAUGAAUGCGGCAGACAAAGUGUUCGCAGAUGGUGUAGAAGACUCUGCCAUAAAAAUCCAGCUGCUGCUGGAGAAGACAGUGAAUGAGGCUCUCAGGCAGGCCCUUGAACUUCAAGUCAUGAUCCUAGCUGCCAGGCCCCACAAAGUGAGCGCCAGGACAUUCUGUGGGAGCCAAUCACCCUCACCCAUCAAAAAGACAAAAGGCGAUGGGCAUGCUGGAGUUGUUGAGAUCCAGGCCACUUCCAGGGUAGCUGCCCCUGUGGAAGGAAAGCAGAAAACGACAACCAGCGCCGGAAUCUUAAUGAGAGGCCUGUGAGCAACAGAUGGAAACCACCAAGAAAGUCUGAAUGGCAACCGGACAGGAGGAAUGGCCAACCGUCAGGAAAUGAGCGGGGGGCCAACGGAAAAGGGCGGGUGCCGGUGUAUGAAUUAAGGAAACCUCCAUCACAUGUUGACUGUCAUUAUGGAAAUGGUCACACCGGGCUGUGUCGAUGACAAACCAUGUCUCAUGCCCAUGGACAGGCACAACAUUGCCGCCGGAUGGUCCAAAAGACAGUCGAACCAAUGUUACAUGCUGCAGACGGUAUCUGGGGAAGCCCUCCCCAUCUUGAAGGAAGUUUUCCUGACACUGACCCUGGGGUGGCACCCACUGGAAAUUUGGAUAUUCUUUGCCAAUAUUACAAAUGAGUCCAUCUUGGGGCUGGAUUUCCUACUCACAUAUGAUGCACAUGUGGACCUAGGGCGCCAAACACUGCAUCUUGCAGAGAAACAGGUAUCGUUAUGGAGCCCCAAGUCUGUCAUGGCCUUCCAGCCUGGUUGAGGCCAGCGAUCUGGUGAUACCUGCUCAGUGUGAGGGAAUGGUGAUGGCUGGAAUGGAGAGCCCCAUUGGAGUGGAAAAUGGCCUAGUAUAACAGAGUCCAGGAGUUUAUCCUCCUGAAAGACACUACAUAGCCAGGACCCUGGUCCAGAACCAACAGGAGGUACCCACGAGGUUCCUGAAUGGUACCCAUCACUACCAAAAGUUCACGAAAGUAUCCUGCUGGCACUCUGGGAGCCAGUCGUGUACUGGUGACCCCAUUCAAUGUGGAACAACCACAGAUCUGGGAUACCACGAACUUACAGAAUGCACAGCAGGCAGAAGUAGGCGAGAUGCUCUACAACAUGCAAUGCCUUGGGGUUAUCGAAGAGUCAAACAGUCCCUGUCAUGCCCCAUCAGAGGAGAAGGAAGUCUUCCAGUGGACUCCAGAAGGAAAUUCAUCAUUGACCCUGACACAAGUAAUGUCGUGAUAGGAGGGCUGAUCUCCUAAGUACAGGACAGGAAGGAGCGAGUAAUAGCCUCCUACAGUAAGACGGUAAACAAGGCCAAGAGAAAUUACUGCAUCACCCUAUAGGAACUAAUUGCGCUCUUGAGGACACUGGAACAUUUCCGUAAGUACCUCUGCGGAGAAGAGUUCCGCCUGUGCACUGACCACUCUACACUAACCUGACUCAUGAGUUUUAUGAAAAAGGAGUGCUGUGACCAAAAAUGUGUCCCAUUUGGAGGAAACCAUGUAUAAAGUCCAUAAAAUGUUUUGAAGGAUGGUUUGAAAAUACAUUCCAAUGACAAAUAUAAUUGUGUAAAAGAAAGAAGAGCCAUAAGACUCAGUUACCUAUUACUGAAAUGUGCUGAUGACAUAUCUCACAAAAUUUUUGUUUAGUUACAGGUUGAUGUUAAACUACAAUAGGUCAAGAUGAAACAUUGUUAUAAUUAUUUCUAGGCAGUCAUGAGAAACACUGGGUUAUAAGAAUUCCUGCAACCAUAAAUAAAAUAAUGUA
This is a long non-coding RNA of Cryptotermes secundus, 2548 nucleotides long. RefSeq lists it as uncharacterized. The record is from RefSeq and is a predicted model, not a curated record. The transcript has 3 exons. NCBI's taxonomy places the organism in Eukaryota, Metazoa, Arthropoda, Insecta, Blattodea, Kalotermitidae.